GAAAUUUAAAGGGCCGCGGUAUUUUGACCGUGCGAAGGUAGCAUAAUCAAUAGUCUUUUAAUUGAAGGCUGGUAUGAAUGGUUGAAUGAGAUAUAUACUGUUUUUUUAAAAAUUUUAUAGAACUUUAUUUUUUAAUUAAAAAGUUAAAAUAUAAUUAAAAGACGAGAAGACCCUAUAGAUCUUUAUUUUUAUAAAUUAUAGUUUAUAAAGAAUUUUAAAAAUUAUAUUUUAAAUAAAAUUUUACUGGGGUGGUAUUAAAAUUAAAUUAACUUUUAUUAUUUUUAUACAUAAAUUUAUGAAUAAAAGAUCCUGUUAUAUGGAUUAAAAAUUUAAGUUACCUUAGGGAUAACAGCGUAAUUUUUUUAGAGAGUUCAUAUCGAUAAAAAAGAUUGCGACCUCGAUGUUGGAUUAAGAGUUAUUUUUAGGUGUAGAAGUUUAAAGUUUAGGUCUGUUCGACCUUUGAAUUCUUACAUGAUCUGAGUUCCAAACCGGAGA
Molecule: ribosomal RNA, 495 nt
Filed under: Anopheles splendidus
Lineage: Eukaryota; Metazoa; Arthropoda; Insecta; Diptera; Culicidae
Description: partial 16S ribosomal RNA
Rfam family: Bacterial large subunit ribosomal RNA
Source: RNAcentral